RNAcentral lists this ribosomal RNA (254 nucleotides) under uncultured bacterium. RNAcentral describes it as "partial small subunit ribosomal RNA". It matches the Rfam family "Bacterial small subunit ribosomal RNA", at positions 26 to 285 of the family's 1533-position model. The record is from RNAcentral.
AGGACGAACGCUGGCGGCGUGCUUAACACAUGCAAGUCGAGCGGAAAGGCCCUUCGGGGUACUCGAGCGGCGAACGGGUGAGUAACACGUGAGUAAUCUGCCCCUAGCUCUGGGAUAGCUCCGGGAAACCGGGAUUAAUACCAGAUAUGACCACUUUAGACAUCUGCUGUGGUGGAAAGAAUUUCGGCUAGGGAUGAGCUCGCGGCCUAUCAGCUUGUUGGUGGGGUAACGGCCUACCAAGGCGACGACGGGUA